Struthio camelus australis is the source of this 1556-nucleotide long non-coding RNA. NCBI's taxonomy places the organism in Eukaryota, Metazoa, Chordata, Aves, Struthioniformes, Struthionidae. The record is from Ensembl.
AAAAAGUUGAGACUUCAUUUUGAAUAAAACAGAGCAGCUGACCUGGGAAAUAAAGGCAAAAAGAAACAGCCUUCUAAAACUUAAAAGGAAAGUGUUUUCUGAUAUGACUUUUGGGCUAGGACUUUCUUCUUCCUCAGCCUUUGAAGAGACCAAAGUCCACGACUAGGAAUCCACAGACGCAACGGUAGGACACGCAACGCUCGCUUGCGUUCCCUCAGUGGAACUAACACCACGUUCGCGAUCAGAAACGCUUGUUCUCCACGCGAACAGAAAGUUAAAGACGGAAGUCAUUAAAGAAAGGCACCCANNNNNNNNNNNNNNNNNNNNNNNNNNNNNNNNNNNNNNNNNGCUCUUCCCAUGUAACGCCUUUCGCAGCAGCAGUGGCGAGACAGUCUCAUCAGGUUACGAAACAGUCUGCUCUCACCAGCACCUCGCACUGCCACACGGCCUUAACUCAUCAUCAAACCAAGUUUCUCCAGUGGCUGCAGAAAUUAGAUUCCUCACAGAUAAAGAGCAGAUGCUGUACCUAGGAAGAUUUUUAAAAGCCCACAUUUGAUGCCUUGACAUUUGCGUUGUAUUUCACUGAGGCACGAAGCAGAAGUGGAAUCACUAAAACCCAGCAAGUCCAGAAAUACUGACUUCAUCUUUCUGGAGCUCAGGAAUCCAAAUGCUGAAAAUCUGAGUUUCUUCUGCAGACAGCAGCAUCACAGACAGGAGAAUUACUAGCCAUCUACCUUGAUCCUCAUUUUCUCCACACUGACCAGUGAUAAACAUAGUGAAGUGCGAGCCUCAGAGCUGCUCCAGAAUAAGCAGAAUAACCCCACUGUAGGGUUGCAUCAUUCCCAGAGAGACUUUACUCACAGUACAAACCACGCAAGCAAAACUCAAGUCCUUUGCUACCUCCAGGAUCCCAAGACUCAAUCCCACCUCUUAUACACAAGUCUGCUUGCUGCCUCUUAACGUUGUUGACAUUUUAUGACCAUCUCUGAAGAUAUCCUCUCUCCCAGACACAAGCUCCCAUGAAUAGGCUCCCUUAUCUGAAAUGUUUGGUCCUGCAUAAGCUCACUAAGGUUUGACCUUCCCUCUCCAGUCAGAGAGCCAGCACUCAGCAUCAUAGUCCUCCUCAUCUCAUACCCCGAUUAUUGCAACCUCUUCUUUCCUCUUAAUGAAAGUCUGACUUGCUUCUACUCCAGACAGCACCACAGCAACUGAAAUAGGAAAAAAUAAUCACAUUGCUCUUCUCCUGCUCUCCCUUCUUCCAAGUGUUUCAAAGGUCUUUCUCUGCUUGACUUUGACAUAUAUUUAUAUGUACUUUGACUUUGCUCUGAAUAUAUACAGGGCUCUGCCUCUCAGUCACUGCAGCCCUCAUCUCAUUUCCUAAAAAAGCACCUUUGCAUUCUUUCCUAUACCAGGAUAAGGCUGGAGAGGAGCCCCCUCUGCACGCUCCCGCUGCUCUAAUACCUGUGGGACCACAGCCAGUCCUCACUGGCUAUGCCCACAUCAGCAAGUAGAGCAGACCCAUGGAGAAGCUGACUCUCGUAAUACACGUGUUGGGG